CAGAAUCGAAGAAAAAAAUAUCCUGGAUACGAACAUUGCCAUCUUGCACAGAAGAACAUCCUUCAGAGCCAGAGUUUGAACCAUUGGGGGAUGGCGCUGCGGUUUUAAGACAGACCUAACUCCAGAGGCCACGCUUGAUGUUGAGGAUCAGCGGAGCUCCCUGGGCUCAUAUCUGUCCUCUCUGUGAAGGAUGGGUUCCUCAACCCCAGCGCGCCACAAUUUGCUCAUUGCAUCUGAGUCACUGCAGGAGAACGGCUGGAUACAGGAGACUGGGACUCAGCUGACAUCUCUGACCCACUACAGUUCAAACGUGGAUUUGUUUACGAAACGACGCCACGAUAUCAACACUGAUCACCCCAUAAUGAUCAACAUUUCUUUUAAAAUGAG
Long non-coding RNA from Pleuronectes platessa (European plaice), 387 nucleotides. RefSeq lists it as uncharacterized. The transcript is spliced from 3 exons. NCBI's taxonomy places the organism in Eukaryota, Metazoa, Chordata, Actinopteri, Pleuronectiformes, Pleuronectidae. The record is from RefSeq and is a predicted model, not a curated record.